UCUCCCUCUUGGACAAGAAGCCUCCAGCCCUCAAAGCUGGGAGCUGAGCAGCGUCCCCUCUACCACCUUUUCUCCAUCCCCCCUCCCUGUUCUGGUCACUAAGCUGAGCCCAGCUCCACAGCCCCUCUGCACCAAGCUCCUGCAUCCUGUUGGACAAUUUGGGGUUCAAGUUCUGCCUUGUAAAUCCAGGACUAUCGCAUCUGCUAUGACCUCUGUCUCCACCUCCCUACCCUCAUCCUGGGUGGGACUCUAGGUCACAUGUCUGACUCAGUGUCCUCCCUUGUUAAUGGAAAUGAGAAUGCCCACCUACCUACCAGAGGGUUGUGGCCAAGAUUAAACUGCAUAAGGCCAACAGGAGCUUGGCACAUGGGUUACACUCAAGAACUGUUAGCCACUGUGCUCAUCAAAGAGGUGGUGAUGGCUACCCGGGCCCCUGGAUUUCUCUCUCGGCCUCCUCCCAUCUACCUCUUGAGCCAUGCGCUCUAAAACCUGCGUCCUGACAGCCUGCAGGGCCAUGCUCACACCUUGCCCCAGAGCAGGAACUUGGAUCUGUUGACUCUCCUUGGUCUACCGGCCACUUCCCUCCCUUCCCCAAGUACCCACAUUCUGUUAGUCCAAUUCUUUUGACUGGGCUUCUUCCCCAGUUCUGUUGUACUGUGGCAAAAGGACCUUGCCA
Molecule: long non-coding RNA, 676 nt
Filed under: Marmota monax (woodchuck)
Lineage: Eukaryota; Metazoa; Chordata; Mammalia; Rodentia; Sciuridae
Source: RNAcentral